ACCAAGGACAGUGCGGCGAAACCGGGGCCUCCUCUUCUCCGACGUCUCUUCGACAGACAACUGAUGUGGACGGCCUCCAAUCCGACCCCCCCUGUGUGUAUGCCUGCGCUAGGUGCCUGCCAAACUUGCUGUUGUGGUGCAAGCUCGCGAUCGAUCGAUCGAUCGAUGGGUAACAUGCAGAGUUGGAACCGCCGUCGCCGACCAGACCCAGCCAAGACCUUCGAAAGCGCUCCGAUACUCGAUUGCUCUUGGCUGCUUGCGUAGACUCAAGCUCGAUCCGUCUCCCUUUCUUUCAGCACGGACAAGUUUAUUGCUGGACUUGGACUUCUUCUCCCGUUUCUCAUUUCCUUUUCUCAUUGACUUUUUACAGCUUCUCACGCCAUGGAUCUAGCAUAGCAGCAGACUCUGCGACCGGCCUAACUCCAGCUACUCCUUCAAUGUAAAACAGCUGCUAUUGACUUCCCCCCC
This 468-nucleotide long non-coding RNA is filed under the name Hordeum vulgare. Its description in RNAcentral is "long non-coding RNA (HVUL_LNC010641)". Lineage: Eukaryota; Viridiplantae; Streptophyta; Magnoliopsida; Poales; Poaceae. The record is from RNAcentral.